Molecule: small RNA, 842 nt
Filed under: Chrysosphaerella rotundata
Lineage: Eukaryota; Synurophyceae; Synurales; Synuraceae
Description: eukaryotic LSU rRNA
Rfam family: 5.8S ribosomal RNA (bases 388-535)
Source: RNAcentral
AAAAAAAACAAAGAGGGUUCUUUUGUCUAAUACAUUUCGGUUUCGACCGAAGUUUGUUAGGUAAACCCCUUUUUGCGUCCCGCGAACAAAUAAAUUUCGGUAAAUUAACUGAUGGAAGGAAACUUUUGUCGAUUGAUUUAUCUUGUUUCAAAAUGUUUUUUCAAUAAAACUCUGUAUGAAACCUCUUCUUAGGGGUUUCGUUCUUAAUUUUAUUGUUAAAGAACCUUUGAAACACAACCAUUUUUUGUCACUCUCUGUAAAAGGAGUAGUGAUUCUCUUGAUUGAGAAUUGAAAGUCGCAAAUGAUAAUCAACUUAUAACGUAAGCCUUUCCUAACCCUUCGAGGUGAAGAAAACGCUAAAACUACGCCUUGAGCGAAAUGUCUAACCACUUUCAGCAACGGAUGUCUUGGCUCCCACAACGAUGAAGAACGCAGCGAAAUGCGAUACGUCAUGCGAAUUGCAAAAUCCAGUGAGUCAUCAAAACUUUGAACGCAACUUGCACUUCCUUCGGGAAGUAUGUCUGUUGGAGUGUCUGUUCUAUCCCCACCAUGAUGCAAAUCUUGGAGUCGACUGUCUUUCGAGACACGUUCAGAUGUAAGAAAAUGGAAUGUACGAAUUUAUUCAUAUAUUGCAUUCUCAACGAAAAACUUGUGUUGUUUUUUAAUUUGCUCUCUGAAGUGCUUUAAAAAUCAAUCCUUGUAUGACGUAAUGACGGUUUCACCCUUUUUCUUCGGAUUUAGGAUUUCCCGACUGAAAGCAUGCAGUUUAAAGGAUUUGAUUAUAAUUUCGGAGUAUUCAAGCACCUUUCGAAUCAUCACAUGGAAUCGGAUCUCCAAUCAGA